CGAGAGAUGGCUCCAAAUAUGGCAGAGUGGGACCAGAAGGAGCUGUUCCCAGUGGACGUGAUGCGGAAGGCAGCCCAGCUAGGCUUCGGAGGGGUCUACGUACAAACAGAUGUGGGCGGGUCUGGGCUGUCACGUCUUGAUACCUCUGUCAUUUUUGAAGCCUUGGCUACAGGCUGCACCAGCACCACAGCCUAUAUAAGCAUCCACAACAUGUGUGCCUGGAUGAUUGAUAGCUUCGGAAAUGGGGAACAGAGGCACAAAUUUUGCCCACCGCUCUGUACCAUGGAGAAGUUUGCUUCCUACUGCCUCACUGAACCAGGAAGUGGGAGUGAUGCUGCCUCUCUUCUGACCUCCGCUAAGAAACAGGGAGAUCAUUACAUCCUCAAUGGCUCCAAGGCCUUCAUCAGUGGUGCUGGUGAGUCAGACGUCUAUGUGGUCAUGUGCCGAACAGGAGGGCCAGGCCCCAAGGGCAUCUCAUGCAUAGUUGUUGAGAAGGGGACCCCUGGCCUCAGCUUUGGCAAGAAGGAGAAAAAGGUGAGUGGCUGUUGGACAGGAAACAAUUUAGGUUAUGAGACUCUGCCACCUGCCAGCCCAACUCCUGCUCUAUUUCAGAAAACAGGUUUGCAUACUUGCUAACCUACCUUUGAAGCAGUUGCUUCUAUUAGGAUUUUCAACAGGAGCAUAUGAAAUACAACAGGGCAUUAUUAAACACUAGGCCUCUGGGGAAAGUGACAAUGUUUGCCAGUAAAUUCUUCAAGCCACCUGUGAGUGUUCUGACCUCUCCUGCCUCUGCUUUUGGCCUGUGUUCCUCAUCCAGCUGCUUACGUUGGUGCACUUUGUUGCUCCAGGAAGAGACGCUUAGAGAAGACCUGGUGUUGGCCACAAGUCUCAGUAAUGGAAGGCAUGUGGUCCCUUUUUCUUCUUUGAUUAAAAAUAAAGUAAAACUCAUUGGAGAUGAUUGUGGGUAUUUCAGCAACCUAAGAAGGACACUUAGGUACUGUAAGUAAUUUGAAAAGUAAGAUACUUCUAGGAUUAAGAGCCGCCAUGGCCAGGGCAUGAACAGGAGACCUG
This 1071-nucleotide small RNA is filed under the name Pan troglodytes (chimpanzee). RNAcentral describes it as "retained intron". Lineage: Eukaryota; Metazoa; Chordata; Mammalia; Primates; Hominidae. The record is from RNAcentral.